RNAcentral lists this ribosomal RNA (305 nucleotides) under uncultured bacterium. Its description in RNAcentral is "bacterial SSU rRNA". It matches the Rfam family "Bacterial small subunit ribosomal RNA", at positions 28 to 334 of the family's 1533-position model. The record is from RNAcentral.
GACGAACGCUGGCGGCGUGCUUAACACAUGCAAGUCGAGCGGUAAGGCCCUUUCGGGGGUACACGAGCGGCGAACGGGUGAGUAACACGUGGGUGACCUGCCCUCAGCUCUGGGAUAAGCCUGGGAAACCGGGUCUAAUACUGGAUAUGACUCUAUGACGCAUGUUGUGGGGUGGAAAGCCUUGUGCGGCUGAGGAUGGGCCCGCGGCCUAUCAGCUUGUUGGUGGGGUGANGGCCUACCAAGGCGACGACGGGUAGCCGGCCUGAGAGGGCGACCGGCCACACUGGGACUGAGACACGGCCACG